Astatotilapia calliptera (eastern happy) is the source of this 447-nucleotide long non-coding RNA. Lineage: Eukaryota; Metazoa; Chordata; Actinopteri; Cichliformes; Cichlidae. The record is from Ensembl.
GUUAUUGUAAUGGGGAAGUCUUUAGGACCCAGGGGACCCAAUGGAGGGUAUAAAAGAGGAAGUAGCAGCAGGUGCUCUUCAUUUCCACUGACGAGCGGCUGUGAACAAUGGUUGUGUGAGUAGGUGAAGAGCCUGAGAAGUUUUAAUUGUCUGCUACACAAAAAGUUGUUUUAAACCUCUACAGCAGAGGUUCGAGGUACAGGCUGUUUUUCUUUUAGUGUUUUUUUUAUUUUUUUUAUUUGUUGAAAUGUAUUUGAUGUUUAUUGUAUUUUAUGUUUUAGUAGUGAUUUUUACAAGAUAAGCCAAGAUAAGCCAGGUGUGCAGCAAACACAGUUGUCUGCUGGAGCCCAAAGAUUAAAAGAAUUGGGAGAUUUCAACAGUACGAACCAGGCACCAUGGACCCUGCGGCACUCAAUCCGUCCGAGGAGCUCCAGGAUGACAUCAGCU